AGAGUUUGAUCAUGGCUCAGAUUGAACGCUGGCGGCAGGCUUAACACAUGCAAGUCGAGCGGGGGAAGGUAGCUUGCUACUGGACCUAGCGGCGGACGGGUGAGUAAUGCUUAGGAAUCUGCCUAUUAGUGGGGGACAACAUCUCGAAAGGGAUGCUAAUACCGCAUACGUCCUACGGGAGAAAGCAGGGGAUCUUCGGACCUUGCGCUAAUAGAUGAGCCUAAGUCGGAUUAGCUAGUUGGUGGGGUAAAGGCCUACCAAGGCGACGAUCUGUAGCGGGUCUGAGAGGAUGAUCCGCCACACUGGGACUGAGACACGGCCCAGACUCCUACGGGAGGCAGCAGUGGGGAAUAUUGGACAAUGGGGGGAACCCUGAUCCAGCUAUGCCGCGUGUGUGAAGAAGGCCUUAUGGUUGUAAAGCACUUUAAGCGAGGAGGAGGCUACUUUAGUUAAUACCUAGAGAUAGUGGACGUUACUCGCAGAAUAAGCACCGGCUAACUCUGUGCCAGCAGCCGCGGUAAUACAGAGGGUGCGAGCGUUAAUCGGAUUUACUGGGCGUAAAGCGUGCGUAGGCGGCUUAUUAAGUCGGAUGUGAAAUCCCCGAGCUUAACUUGGGAAUUGCAUUCGAUACUGGUGAGCUAGAGUAUGGGAGAGGAUGGUAGAAUUCCAGGUGUAGCGGUGAAAUGCGUAGAGAUCUGGAGGAAUACCGAUGGCGAAGGCAGCCAUCUGGCCUAAUACUGACGCUGAGGUACGAAAGCAUGGGGAGCAAACAGGAUUAGAUACCCUGGUAGUCCAUGCCGUAAACGAUGUCUACUAGCCGUUGGGGCCUUUGAGGCUUUAGUGGCGCAGCUAACGCGAUAAGUAGACCGCCUGGGGAGUACGGUCGCAAGACUAAAACUCAAAUGAAUUGACGGGGGCCCGCACAAGCGGUGGAGCAUGUGGUUUAAUUCGAUGCAACGCGAAGAACCUUACCUGGCCUUGACAUACUAGAAACUUUCCAGAGAUGGAUUGGUGCCUUCGGGAAUCUAGAUACAGGUGCUGCAUGGCUGUCGUCAGCUCGUGUCGUGAGAUGUUGGGUUAAGUCCCGCAACGAGCGCAACCCUUUUCCUUACUUGCCAGCAUUUCGGAUGGGAACUUUAAGGAUACUGCCAGUGACAAACUGGAGGAAGGCGGGGACGACGUCAAGUCAUCAUGGCCCUUACGGCCAGGGCUACACACGUGCUACAAUG
This 1229-nucleotide ribosomal RNA is filed under the name Acinetobacter baumannii 959073. RNAcentral describes it as "bacterial SSU rRNA". It matches the Rfam family "Bacterial small subunit ribosomal RNA", at positions 8 to 1232 of the family's 1533-position model. The record is from RNAcentral. Lineage: Bacteria; Pseudomonadati; Pseudomonadota; Gammaproteobacteria; Moraxellales; Moraxellaceae.